CCGAGGCCCGACUCGAACUUGUGCGCAGAGUUGGACUCGGUCACGUAUUCCGCCUUCUCUCACGGUCUCACCCGCCCGCGCGCGCGAUGCGGCUCCUCCUCCUGACCCUCCCGAUCCCCUCGCGAUCUCUCCUCGUCCGACCUAGGGCAGGCUCUCUCCGCUGCCGCCGUUCCUCCCUCCCUCGUGAAUCGACCUAGGGAGCGGGCGUGCGCGCUGAGCCAGCGCUAGCGAUGGUGGGGAACGACUGGAUCAACAGCGACCUGGAGCCGCUGGAGACCAUCCUCGACGCGGGCGGCGCCGCUGGGGACAUCUUGGCCUCCUCAGUAGCCGGAGGCUGCGAUGGGCCGGCUGCGGCUGCUGGAGGCGCCGCCGGGUAGCCUUGGAAUUUGCUAUACCUAUAGCAGAUCGGAUGUGUUUCUGCAUAGAGAAAGAGGCUGGGGGAUAAUGCAAGGUGACCAAGAUAGGGGGGUGGGCUGGCGUACCUGGGGUAUUGAAUUGUUGCUGGCUUCGUUGUGCUGGGGGAGCUAUCUGCGAGGAAGAAGUUAAGGUCUUCUCUUGGCCUGCAAGUUGGUUACUGUUGCCUCGUUUGUGGGCUUGCUUCUGGGCUUUAUCUGAGAAGCUACCGGAGGCUGACUCUUCGAUUGAGUCUUUGUCAAUGCUCUCAAAAAAAAAAAAGAGUCUUUGUCAAUUGCAGGUGAAGCUCGGACUGGCCACUUUCUCCAUGUUAGCCUGCUGGUGCAUUUGGAAACAUCGCAACAAGUGGUCUUCGAAGGCAAAACUCCUAGUUUUUAUUUAAUACUUCAGGCGAUCAUCCGUGUGUCUGCCUGCUGGUCACAAGCAAAACUAUUUGGUAGUUCUAUUUUUGGUCAUAUUCCUGGCGUUGUUGCGAGUGGAGAGACACAGGAUGAUGUAAUUUUUUCUGUUUUUGCCCAUGGCGUGUAGCUGCAUCGCAGCAAUUUUCUCUCUACAAACGAUGAUACAUCGUAUCCUAGAAAAAAAUAUAGUUCAGUUUGUCAGGUU
This is a long non-coding RNA of Brachypodium distachyon (stiff brome), 1020 nucleotides long. RefSeq lists it as uncharacterized. The transcript has 2 exons. The record is from RefSeq and is a predicted model, not a curated record. Lineage: Eukaryota; Viridiplantae; Streptophyta; Magnoliopsida; Poales; Poaceae.